UACAGAGGGUGCAAGCGUUAAUCGGAAUUACUGGGCGUAAAGGGUGCGUAGGCGGUGAAAUAAGUUGGAUGUGAAAGACCCGAGCUUAACUUGGGGGUUGCAUUCAAGACUGUUUUACUAGAGUACUGUAGAGGAAGGCGGAAUUUCCGGUGUAGCGGUGAAAUGCGUAGAUAUCGGAAGGAACACCAGUGGCGAAAGCGGCCUUCUGGACAGUCACUGACGCUGAGGCACGAAAGCGUGGGGAGCAAACAGG
RNAcentral lists this ribosomal RNA (253 nucleotides) under uncultured bacterium. Its description in RNAcentral is "partial 16S ribosomal RNA". It matches the Rfam family "Bacterial small subunit ribosomal RNA", at positions 524 to 776 of the family's 1533-position model. The record is from RNAcentral.